This 200-nucleotide ribosomal RNA is filed under the name uncultured bacterium. RNAcentral's name for it is "partial 16S ribosomal RNA". It matches the Rfam family "Bacterial small subunit ribosomal RNA", at positions 8 to 204 of the family's 1533-position model. The record is from RNAcentral.
AGAGUUUGAUCCUGGCUCAGGAUGAACGCUAGCGGCAGGCUUAAUACAUGCAAGUCGUGGGGUAGAGAGGGGCUUGCUCCUCUUGAGACCGGCAAACGGGUGCGGAACACGUACACAACCUUCCUUUUAGAGGGGGAUAGCCCAGGGAAACUUGGAUUAAUACCCCGUAAGAUGUUGAUGAGGCAUCUCAUUGAUAUUAU